This 253-nucleotide ribosomal RNA is filed under the name uncultured bacterium. Its description in RNAcentral is "partial 16S ribosomal RNA". It matches the Rfam family "Bacterial small subunit ribosomal RNA", at positions 524 to 776 of the family's 1533-position model. The record is from RNAcentral.
UACAGAGGGUGCGAGCGUUGUCCGGAAUCACUGGGCGUAAAGCGCACGUAGGCGGAUUGCUAAGUCAGGGGUGAAAUCCUGGAGCUCAACUCCAGAACUGCCUUUGAUACUGGCGACCUUGAGUCCGGAAGAGGCGAGUGGAACUCCUGGUGUAGCGGUGGAAUGCGCAGAUAUCAGGAAGAACACCAACGGCGAAGGCAGCUCGCUGGGACGGUACUGACGCUGAGACGCGAAAGCGUGGGGAGCGAACAGG